UUUGAUCCUGGCUCAGGACGAACGCUGGCGGCGUGCCUAAUACAUGCAAGUCGAGCGCAGGAAACCGGCGGAACCCUUCGGGGGGAAGCCGGUGGAAUGAGCGGCGGACGGGUGAGUAACACGUGGGCAACCUGCCUUUCAGACUGGGAUAACCCCGGGAAACCGGGGCUAAUACCGGAUAACCAGCCGGUUCGCAUGAACCGGCUGUAAAAGAGGGGAGUUUUCUCCUCUCACUGAAAGAUGGGCCCGCGGCGCAUUAGCUAGUUGGUAAGGUAGUGGCUUACCAAGGCGACGAUGCGUAGCCGACCUGAGAGGGUGAUCGGCCACACUGGAACUGAGACACGGUCCAGACUCCUACGGGAGGCAGCAGUAGGGAAUCAUCCACAAUGGGCGAAAGCCUGACGGUGCAACGCCGCGUGAACGACGAAGGUUUUCGGAUCGUAAAGUUCUGUUGUGAGGGAAGAWYWYGUKCYKGUCAAACAGGCCGGCACCUUGACGGUACCUCACGAGAAAGCCCCGGCUAACUACGUGCCAGCAGCCGCGGUAAUACGUAGGGGGCAAGCGUUGUCCGGAAUUAUUGGGCGUAAAGCGCGCGCAGGCGGUCUUGUAAGUCUGAUGUGAAAGCCCACGGCUCAACCGUGGAGGGUCAUUGGAAACUGCAGGACUUGAGUGUAGGAGAGGAAAGUGGAAUUCCACGUGUAGCGGUGAAAUGCGUAGAUAUGUGGAGGAACACCAGUGGCGAAGGCGACUUUCUGGCCUACAACUGACGCUGAGGCGCGAAAGCGUGGGGAGCAAACAGGAUUAGAUACCCUGGUAGUCCACGCCGUAAACGAUGAGUGCUAGGUGUUAGGGGUUUCGAUGCCCUUAGUGCCGAAGUUAACACAUUAAGCACUCCGCCUGGGGAGUACG
Molecule: ribosomal RNA, 909 nt
Filed under: uncultured Bacillus sp.
Lineage: Bacteria; Bacillati; Bacillota; Bacilli; Caryophanales; Bacillaceae
Description: bacterial SSU rRNA
Rfam family: Bacterial small subunit ribosomal RNA
Source: RNAcentral